UGGGGAAUAUUGCACAAUGGGCGCAAGCCUGAUGCAGCCAUGCCGCGUGUAUGAAGAAGGCCUUCGGGUUGUAAAGUACUCUCAGUCGGGAGGAAGGUGGUAAGGUUAAUAACCUUGGCAAUUGACGUUACCCGCAGAAGAAGCACCGGCUAACUCCGUGCCAGCAGCCGCGGUAAUACGGAGGGUGCAAGCGUUAAUCGGAAUUACUGGGCGUAAAGCGCACGCAGGCGGUUUGUUAAGUCAGAUGUGAAAUCCCCGGGCUCAACCUGGGAACUGCAGCUGAUACUGGCGAGCUUGAUUCUCGUAGAGGGGGGUAGAAUUCCAGGGGUAGCAGUGAAAUGCGUAGGAAUCGGGGGGAAUACCAGUGGCGAAGGCGGCCCCCUGGACGAAGACUGACGCUCAGGUGCGAAAGAGUGGGGAGCAAACAGG
Molecule: ribosomal RNA, 429 nt
Filed under: Chloroflexota bacterium
Lineage: Bacteria; Bacillati; Chloroflexota
Description: Chloroflexi bacterium partial 16S ribosomal RNA
Rfam family: Bacterial small subunit ribosomal RNA
Source: RNAcentral